UACAGAGGGGGCAAGCGUUAUUCGGAAUUAUUGGGCGUAAAGGGCGCGUAGGCGGCCUGGCAAGUGGAAGGUGAAAUCCCUCGGCUUAACCGAGGAACCGCCUUCCAAACUGCUUGGCUUGAGUCCGGGAGAGGUGAGUGGAAUUCCCAGUGUAGCGGUGAAAUGCGUAGAUAUUGGGAGGAACACCAGUGGCGAAGGCGGCUCACUGGACCGGAACUGACGCUGAUGCGCGAAAGCGUGGGGAGCAAACGGG
This 253-nucleotide ribosomal RNA is filed under the name uncultured bacterium. RNAcentral describes it as "partial 16S ribosomal RNA". It matches the Rfam family "Bacterial small subunit ribosomal RNA", at positions 524 to 776 of the family's 1533-position model. The record is from RNAcentral.